UGCCCAGUGACCAUGUUCAACGGCCGCGGUAUCCUAACCGUGCGAAGGUAGCGUAAUCACUUGUUCUUUAAAUAAGGACUAGUAUGAACGGCAUCACGAAGGUUACACUGUCUCCUCUUUCUAAUCAGUGAAACUAAUCUCCUCGUGAAGAAACGAGGAUAAACAUAUAAGACGAGAAGACCCUAUGGAGCUUCAAACUAUAAAGCACCUGCCCCAGUAUUACUUAAUUCCAGAAAACCACACCUACCCAGGCAAGAUGACCUUUAGUUUUAGGUUGGGGUGACCGCGGAGCAAAAAAAAACCUCCACAUUGAAAGGAGCCAACUCCUUAGCCAAGAGCCACACCUCUAAGCACCAACAAAAAGACAUCAAUUGACCCAAUAUUUUUGAUCACGAACCAAG
Molecule: ribosomal RNA, 401 nt
Filed under: Hyalinobatrachium taylori (Taylor's glass frog)
Lineage: Eukaryota; Metazoa; Chordata; Amphibia; Anura; Centrolenidae
Description: partial 16S ribosomal RNA
Rfam family: Bacterial large subunit ribosomal RNA
Source: RNAcentral